AUUUCAACAAUUACAUUGAAAAAUAUCAUAAAUCUCUUAUUAAAUUUCCCGUCGAAUAUUAUUAAUUAUGUAAUAAUAUUUUACGCUAAGGUUACUAACCUUUUAAUAACAUUCCAGUCACAUACUACUAAUAAUAUCUCAAUACAAUAUUAUUAGUCACAUAAAAAUAAUUUAUGUCAUUAAUCACUUUAAUAAACAAUUUAUUUCAAUUGUUUUCUAUUCCUUAAUUAAUAAACUUGUUUAAGCAUUCUAAAAUGUCAUAAACAUUACAACACUUUAAGCCCGACCCAAAUCUUCAUUACAAACUGGCAAACGCCAUGCUCAAGGGUCUCACUUCAUACAUCGCAUUUUUCCUAUUUUUGGACACUUUUGAUUUUUUUGAAAUUUUUAUCCAGCCUCGCUAAAACAGCCAUAACUCUCGCGUUUUAAAACAUGAGCCCACGCGAAGAUAACUUCCAGGGCUACAAUUUUUGUCUCACGACAUUUUUCCAAAAUCAUAACACAUCAGUCCAGAAAUUUACACAAAGGUGGCUGUUCGGAAUUUGAUUAACAGUUUUGAUACACAUCUCCCGAACGCCAUAACUACCUCAUCCGGAAUCGGAAUUAGUCCGUUCCGGAGUCUAUGGAAAGCUAAAACAGUGUACGACAACAUAUCAAAAGCCCAGAAUUUUUAAAGCACAAAAACGGGACGAAAUUGCCCUCGCUACUGACUGCCCCGAAUCUGCCCAUUUUUGGUUAUAAAAACGGAACUGUUUUCACCAAAUCAGUCACUACCCCAUGUAAACUAAACAUUUUUGAGUACUACCACUUGGGUUAACU
RNAcentral lists this long non-coding RNA (819 nucleotides) under Panax ginseng (ginseng). RNAcentral describes it as "long non-coding RNA (PGIN_LNC007224)". Lineage: Eukaryota; Viridiplantae; Streptophyta; Magnoliopsida; Apiales; Araliaceae. The record is from RNAcentral.